Molecule: ribosomal RNA, 253 nt
Filed under: uncultured bacterium
Lineage: Bacteria
Description: partial 16S ribosomal RNA
Rfam family: Bacterial small subunit ribosomal RNA
Source: RNAcentral
UACGUAGGGUGCAAGCGUUGUCCGGAAUUAUUGGGCGUAAAGAGCUCGUAGGCGGUUUGUCGCGUCUGCUGUGAAAACCUGGGGCUCAACCCCGGGCCUGCAGCCGAUACGGGCAAGCUAGAAUUCGGUAGGGGAGACUGGAAUUCCUGGUGUAGCGGUGAAAUGCGCAGAUAUCAGGAGGAACACCGGUGGCGAAGGCGGGUCUCUGGGCCGAUAUUGACGCUGAGGAGCGAAAGCGUGGGGAGCGAACAGG